GGUGAGGUGUCCGAGUGGUUGAAGGAGCACGCCUGGAAAGUGUGAAUGUGUUAAUAUGCAUCAAGGGUUCGAAUCCCUUCCUCACCG
Molecule: transfer RNA, 87 nt
Filed under: Blochmannia endosymbiont of Colobopsis nipponica
Lineage: Bacteria; Pseudomonadati; Pseudomonadota; Gammaproteobacteria; Enterobacterales; Enterobacteriaceae
Description: tRNA-Ser
Rfam family: tRNA
About the family: Transfer RNA (tRNA) molecules are approximately 80 nucleotides in length.
Source: RNAcentral